Molecule: ribosomal RNA, 755 nt
Filed under: Lentilactobacillus buchneri
Lineage: Bacteria; Bacillati; Bacillota; Bacilli; Lactobacillales; Lactobacillaceae
Description: bacterial SSU rRNA
Rfam family: Bacterial small subunit ribosomal RNA
Source: RNAcentral
UAAUACAUGCAAGUCGAACGCGUCUCCGUUGAUGAUUUUAGGUGCUUGCACUUGAAAGAUUUAACAUUGAGACGAGUGGCGAACUGGUGAGUAACACGUGGGUAACCUGCCCUUGAAGUAGGGGAUAACACUUGGAAACAGGUGCUAAUACCGUAUAACAACCAAAACCACCUGGUUUUGGUUUAAAAGACGGCUUCGGCUGUCACUUUAGGAUGGACCCGCGGCGUAUUAGCUUGUUGGUAAGGUAACGGCCUACCAAGGCGAUGAUACGUAGCCGACCUGAGAGGGUAAUCGGCCACAUUGGGACUGAGACACGGCCCAAACUCCUACGGGAGGCAGCAGUAGGGAAUCUUCCACAAUGGACGAAAGUCUGAUGGAGCAACGCCGCGUGAGUGAUGAAGGGUUUCGGCUCGUAAAACUCUGUUGUUGGAGAAGAACAGGUGUCAGAGUAACUGUUGACAUCUUGACGGUAUCCAACCAGAAAGCCACGGCUAACUACGUGCCAGCAGCCGCGGUAAUACGUAGGUGGCAAGCGUUGUCCGGAUUUAUUGGGCGUAAAGCGAGCGCAGGCGGUUUUUUAGGUCUGAUGUGAAAGCCUUCGGCUUAACCGGAGAAGUGCAUCGGAAACCGGGAGACUUGAGUGCAGAAGAGGACAGUGGAACUCCAUGUGUAGCGGUGAAAUGCGUAGAUAUAUGGAAGAACACCAGUGGCGAAGGCGGCUGUCUGGUCUGUAACUGACGCUGAGGCUCGAAAGC